UAGAACGGUUUGAAACGGUUUAGAACGGUUUGAAACGGUUUAGAACGGUUUGAGUGAUUGUUGCAAAACGCCAACAAUCGCUACCAACUGCAAAAGCUAUGUCUGUGGGUAGUAGCGGAGAAACCAAUCAUGCCCUCAGUCAUGCCCUAGAUUUGGUAAAAACCUUGGUCAAAGGGCAAGAACAAUGAGUCAACAAAAUAUUAUUCGGAAAGUGCUAAAUCGUCUGGGUAAUGCAAGGAGAUCCAUUUAUAGACACGACACCUUGUUCUAUCAUGGAACCACUCAAAUUCAGUACUACUAGUUUCUUGAGAACUACUGAGUUCUCUAUAAUGUACUUCACAUGACACUCGACAUAAAGAUGCUUGAGCCUUGAUUUUAUGAUACAUUUUUAAUCUAAUUCCAUCAAAAGAACAUAAAUAUAGACCAAUUUUAAUAAGUCCAUCAACAUAUAUAAUUAUAUUUCUCUUUGCCAUUGUCUGGUCGUGAAGUAGUGACUAUGACAAACAACAAAUUAAAUCUUUCAUAUUAUCAAGCGGAGUCAUGAAAGCACAUAUUCUGAUGUUUCAGAUGCUGUGAAUUUACAUUGUCAUAUUUGUACUUAUUUCCCCAAGAUUGGAAAAAUAAUCAAAGUGAAACAUCGGCAAUUUAUAGGUGUUUAGAUUGGUCAGAAGUUCUUUAAACUAAUUUGAGACCGAUACUAGUUUUGAGUGAAUUUGCUAUAUUAAUUUUGGUUUGGAAUUCGUUUUCAAUAACAUUGUACAGUAAAACUCUAUAAAUUAAUGAUUUUAUAUGAUUUCAUGUAAAUGAAGCUGAUUUAAAAUAUGAGACAGAUCAAUAAGAUAAUAAAAUAAUGAUUUUUAGAAAAUCUCAUGUAAAUAUAUGAUACCAUUAAAUUUUAAUUAAUAAUUCCUACUAGGAUUAGACCCGCGCCUUGCGCGGGGUGAGAUUUUUUAAAAUUUUUUAAAAAAAUAGGUUAUAAGAUGAAUAAAACUGAUAUGUGGUGGGGUUUUUAUUAAGAGAUAAAUGAUUUUUAUUUUUUCGUUAUAUAAGUAUUUAUAGAUAUUGGAGGAUUAAAUUGUAUUUACGAUCAAUGAUCUUUCUAUAAAUAUUUUUGUUUAUUACCGAGUAUGUGAUAUAUUUUUAGUAAGACAAAUAAAAUACCAUACCAUUUUUUUGGUAACUAAUCUUAUUAAAAGAUUUAUAUUUGAUUAUUUUAAAGACUUUAACACAACUUAAUAGAACUUGGAAUUAAAAAAAAUAUUUCUCACAACAUUUAUGUAAAUUAUAUUGUCGUAACAUAUAUAACAUAAUAGAUUAGUUGAAUAAUUAUAAUGGGCCAUAAUAAUAAACAAAUAAAUUGAAAGGCCCGAUUAUAUUUGUUCCUUAAUUAUGAUUGUCCAAUAUUUGAGGGCAAAAGCAAGUCAUUGUCGUAACACAAAUUGCAGAUUUAUUGUUUCCCAAUUUUUUUUAAUUUUUCCCAUAUUUGCCGUUCCCGAAUCGACUGUUUCGUUUAUCACCGUCUCAGAACAAUUCAAACCGAUCUUCUGAUUUCUCUCUGUGCAAUACAUAUUCACGUUCCAAACCUAAUCAAUAAUACCAAUCGAAGGUUACUGGUCUUCCACAGAGUAAACAAUCGAUUCAGAAAAUGAGAAGCUAUAAGACCAUCAUUAUCGGGGUCUCUUGACAAGAAUAUUUAGUUUAUUUGGAAUUAAAGAAAAAGAAAAAAAGGUAAUUACCAUAAGCGACGUAUCUUAUUUAGGCGACACAAGAUACGUCUCUUCUGUGCCACGCGUCGUUUAUGGCCAAAGGUGACGAAGAAAUCUCCGGUGCUCCCUCCCGCGUCUACCGUCUUGUUUCGCCUCUUCGUCGUCUUCCUCUUCGGUUUCCAGAUCUAGAAGCGGCGCUAGGACCUGUGAGGCCUCUGGAGGUGUGAAGAGAGCUUAAUCGGCUUGAUCUGGCCGUUGGAGAAGAGCUCCUCCGCGGAGGUCAUUGGCACGCCGCCAAUAGGACCGCUGCUGGAAGACAACCGAGAGGAGAAAUCAAACUCAAACUCGCCAGAAGGAGACGAAUCGGGCUUCGGAUUCUCCGACGGAGCAGUGGAGGACAAGAAGAAAUGCAUCGGACUCGACGGUGCGCUGAAGAAAUACCCAGGCGGUGGAUUACGUCCGGGACUAGACGGAGCGCUGGCGAAGGAAGUAGCCGAAGGUGAUGCCUUUUUGAGUAGUUUUUGAUGGGAUGAUGGGUUCUUGUUGACAGGGUUUUGUUUUUGGGGCAGGUAGUUACUGGGAUUGCUCUGCCUUCUGGUUCUGAUAAGCUUUACACUGCUAGUAAAGAUGAGACACUACGGAUUUGGGAUUGUGCUUCUGGACAGGUUUCGAUUUACUUGCCUCUUAGAAUUCAUUCCAUAGUGUGGUUAUUCUUCAAUGGAUACUUGUCAUUGUUUGGUUAGAACUUAGGACCAACGGGUGGUCGAAACGGUUCGUUUGAUGUUUCGGUGGAUAUGAUAUGCAGAACGGCUAGUUACUUGUUUAACUAAUCCUUCAAUUCUCUAGGAGUUUGGAUUAGUUAGGGUUAACAAUCAAGCUUGAGUAUUAGUUUAUUGAUUACAUGUUUCAUGGUGAUUUGAUGCAGAAGUGUCGAAGACUGAUGGGAGGGUUGGGAACACUACUAAUGUGAUUAUCGGAGGUACUGUUGCUGAUGAUUCUGCUAAAGAUUGGCUCGUACUUGACCAGAAGGUAUCUCUUAUAGAAAAAACUUGUGUACUUGAGUUUGGUCAUAGCUUAUUGGAGUUGUUAUUUUUAUCUUUGCUCUUCAAAGAGUUAAUUUAGUUUUUGUUUUGUAAUGGAAUGCAAUGUCAGGUUCUACAAAACGAUAUCGAUAUCAAUAUGCUUAACCCACCAACAGAGCUUGAGAAGAGGAAGCACAAGCUCAAGCGUCUUGUUCAAUCUCCCAACUCAUUCUUCAUGGUAAUGAAUUUGAAAACCGUUUCUCCUAUUUUUGAACCUUUGAGAAACAACUUUGUUUAGAGUUGUAGCUUUUGCUUAAUCCAUUUUCUCAUCGUGAUUGAAAAUCAUGUCUUGUGUCUCUGAUUCAUUAUUCAUGGUAAUGAAUUUGAAAACCGUCUUUGAUCCGUCAUAGCUUUUGUUUAGAGUUGUAGCCGGUCUCUUUUUUGUUCUAUUGAAAUGUUUAAUAAAUUUUUUUAAGAACCCAUAGUUAAGAGACUACCAUUGGAGCAUAAAAAUGUUGGUGUCUUUUAAGUAGGUCUCUUAAGUAAAUUUUAAUAAUUAAAAAUCAUUAAGAGACUCAAAGUGGGUUUUUGGGUUAAUGAUGCUCUAAGGUUAGUCAAUUUGAUAAUAUUUUGAGAUCUGUAAAAUCAAUUCUCAAUUGCAGGGAGUUUCAUUUGUUUCGUUAUUUAUUUUUCAAUCGGGUCUCGAAUAUAGGUUGAAAUCUGACAUAGCUUUCACAGAAAACCUAAUUCCAUCGUUUACCUAUUUGAUUUCAACAAAGCUAAAUUCUAUUUAGGAGUAUCUAUUUGAAUUCAAAUGCUUGAUAAAAAUGUUAAAAUUUAAUGAUUGUUUGCUUGAUUGAAAUAAAAAAUUUUAUGAUUAGUAUUAAAAAUUCUUUGCUUGAUAUGAGUAUACUUAAACAAUCAAGCAAAGCCAAACUUUGUGAAUUAUCCUUAAAUGUAUUUGAGUUGACGAUAUAUUUUAGUUUAUAUUGAAUAAGAGUUUCACAUUGCAGAGAAAGAUUGAAGAGGUGGGAACCAAGGGUGUUGUUUCAGACAAUAGGACGUCUACUAAUAAGGUUAGCAUCAACUUUAUUGACACAAUAGUGAGAUAAUUAAUUAUACGACCCAGUAAAGAACGCACUUGUGAAAAAUUAACUAUCAUUUAGCAUUGUAAAAAUAGAUACGAAAAUAAAGGACUAAAGUAAAGUACUUUAAAGGCGUCCAAAGAAUCCCGUACCUUAACAUCGCAAAGAACCAUUUCAAUAGUUUCACCUCCAGCAUCUGAGUAUUGUUUCCACAACCGGAUGACUUUGACCUUGAUCUUCCACAUUGUUUUGAAAGGCUUAACAUCAGCGACUGGAUUGAUAGACAUGGUUUGUAAGCAACGGGUUUUUUUUUUGCUCUUUUGCUUGUUUGCAAGUUGAUGUGGAAUUCGAUGAGUGGGAGCAUCAUUUAUAUAUAUGUCGUGUCUAGGUUUAGGAGCCAUAAUAAUUACCAUCACAGUGUCAAAGGAAACUACAUAUUUUAUUUUCCUUAUCUCUUAUAUCACAUUAACGUCCAUGAAACCUUGGUGUCGAAGCAAACGUGAUGGCCACUCCAUCUUUAAAGGGUACGUAAAGUUAAAUAUUAUUUUUUCCUUUAUCUGGUUUUAUAGCAUUAAUGAUUGCAAAUUUCGUUCCUAAACUAAGUCUCAAAAAUAUAGGAUAAACGUGAUGGCCAAUCGAUCAUUAAAAGAUACUUCUUUGUUUUUUGGCAAUACCAUUACUGAUUGAAAACUUGCUGCCAAAGUAAAAGUAAUAUUAUAUUUAAAUAUUGUUUACUAAGUUUAAUGUAUAACACGACAUAUACUUACAAAAUUAAUAUAACAAACCAUAUGUUAUCAACGGUGUUUCAUAAGAAUCAACGGUGUUUCUAAGAUGUAAACAACUUUGGCAUACCGGUUAAAUUGAGUUAUCAUAAGAAUCAACGGUGUUUCUAUUGUCGUUAUGUAUGACCUUAAUUAUCAUAAAAUACUUGGCAAUCCAUCAACAGUUUAAAACAAAUUAAUAUGAUAGUUUGAUUCUCCCGUCUGUCCUACGGGAGGGUGAGGAAAUUAAAAUAGUAAAAUAUGUUGAUACAUAAAAUACUUUAAGUAGCGACAGUGAAAAACACCAACUCAACCGAAUAACUGAUUUAGAAUACUGAAUAGUAAAAUAAAUAAACAAAAGAAAACUUGAACAAAUUUUCUUUAAAUAAAUUGGAUCAACAGAGAACACUCGUCUUCGUUAUCAUAUUUUGGUUUCCACGUUUUAGACAUAGUAUGCCAAACAAAACGACUUAUAGAAGAGCACGCUACAUUUCCAGCAAGUUCUGAUUGAUUCUUCAUCCAUUCCAAAAACUUUUGUUUCUGUUGAUGUUCAAGUACAUUCACAUACUCGUCUUCUCUCAUGUUUUCUUCCUUUGAAAACAUAAGUUUGCGCCAUAUCCCUUUAGCAAUCUGCAAAUUAAAAAGGUUUUUAAGUAAGCAUCUUACAUAUGAAUUUCUAUAAUUAUAUAAACGGUAAGUUGAAUGCAAAUCCCCUAUAAUUAUAUACAAUAUAUUGUAUGACCUUCUCAUGGUUUGGCCAUGCGAAUUUAGAUGACAUCCUAGAAUAGAUUUAAAGAAAAUAUUUGUCAACUUUUAUUCUUCGUACCAAACUAUAACAGUAUAUAUAGGAAAAGCUACAACGAAGUCUUCCAAAACGCGACAUCUACUCUGCCAACUAACUAAACAGAAGCGAUUAUUCGGUUAAUGCCUUGCACGAAAAGCAUAUACGUAAUAAAUUCAACCUUUACAUAUUCGGUCAGCCCAUUCCGAAUUUAAUACAACCAACCAUUAUGUUAAUAAUAAAAUUUGGAAUUAAAUACAUAAUCAAAAGUUUACUUAUGUAGAUAUAGCGAAUCGUUGUGUAAGGAGUAUAUGAGUAAUGACGAUAGGGGAUAUGUAACAAUUGUAUUUGACGGUGUAACAAUUAUAUAACAUUUUGCUAGGAUGUUUAAUUUUAGACUAAGCUCAACAUAUUGAGCUCUAUUAAACUGCCACGUAAGACAAUUAAGAGCACAAAAAACUGACACGUAGGAAGGGGCUAUUUUUAAUUAUUACAAACUUGAGGUUCUAACUUUUUAAAUGAUUCACAAUUAAUAUAUAGGGGAUAUCUACAGUUUAUAAGAAUGCAAAUAAUACAUGGUAUUGUCUGCUUUAUCUUCAUAAUGAAAUUUACUUCUAUGUUUUCUAAGUUUCAUAAUAUUUUGAUAGUAUUUAAUAAAAUUAUAUCUAAAAUACAUUUAAAUUGUAUGCUACAUAUCUCAUAUACAUAAAAUAAAUAUAAUAAAAUGAUAUGAAAGUUGAAUUUAUAAAUUUCAAUGAAUAUAUAAACAUUGGAAUCAACUAUUUUUGUUUGACAAAUUUUUUUAAUUCUAAACUAUAGAAAUAUAGAAAAGGAAACUUCUUAUAAAUUAAUAACUCUAUAAAUUAAGAAAAUAUUAUAAUCCCAACAUUAUUAAUUGUAGAUUUUUUAGGUGUGUAGAAGUAUAAAAUAUUAUAUAAGUAGAUUUGUGUUAAUCAAAUUAAUUUAAUAUAUAGCAAGAAAUAAUAAUAGCUUUACUAAAUGUGGAAUAAUUAUAAUACUGCAUUGCUUAUCAAGACCAAAAUCGGAACCAAUUUAAUUUUCGUUGAUCAAUAUAUAAAUAGUCAAAUCUAACAAUAUGUUUCAAAUAAUAAAAGUUAUAAAGCUAUAAAUAGGGAUUGUUAAUAGUGAUCAGAGACAUCAAAAAAAGACAAGCAUAUAUAGAUACACACAAGACUAAAAAACAAAAGAUGGAGAAAAAAUAUACGUGCAUGUUGAUGAUUAUGAUCAUUGCAUUGACGAUGAUACCAUUACCAGCAAUGAGUGAAACAUAUGAAGCUUGUUAUGAUAAUUGCGUUUCCUCGUGCCAAAUGUUUUCUCUCGACGUUAAGAUCAAAUGCAUUCACGAUUGUGUUGGUUCUAAAUGUCAUAAAACACAUGUACUCCCCCGGAUGACGACUAAAGAGAUAUUUUAAGAAAUUCAUACAUAGAGAGAGUUAUUAAACACACAAGAUGUUUUUAGUUUACUAUGUUUUUAAUUAUAUGAUUUUGAAUAAUAAAAUUUCAUCGUCAUCUUCAGAAUUCAACCGUUCUCAAAA
Long non-coding RNA from Brassica napus (rape), 6911 nucleotides. RefSeq lists it as uncharacterized. The record is from RefSeq and is a predicted model, not a curated record. Lineage: Eukaryota; Viridiplantae; Streptophyta; Magnoliopsida; Brassicales; Brassicaceae. The transcript has 2 exons.